RNAcentral lists this long non-coding RNA (316 nucleotides) under Mytilus galloprovincialis (Mediterranean mussel). The record is from RNAcentral. Lineage: Eukaryota; Metazoa; Mollusca; Bivalvia; Mytilida; Mytilidae.
UUUCUGUAAAGGUGACUUGAGGAAUCAUAAAAUCACGUCAUAAUUUAGGGACCUACUGAAGAUUCAUUAAUUUUAUCAUGGAUUUAGAAAUAAAAUACCUUUUUUUCGUGAUAUCUUAAUGGAUGCUAUUGCCAAAGUGUGCAUAGAAGCCUGUAGAAAGUUUAUACUUCUUUGAACUAAUAAAUUUGCUUAUACUCUUUAAAUUCUUCAAAUAUUGAAACCUAAUGAGAACUAAUGAACCCACUGUAAUUCAUGGCUCUACCGUUAGAUUCAUUCUUUAAACAUGCAAAAGAAACAAGCAGUAAAUUUAUCACAG